GUGUCAGCAGCCGCGGUAAGACAGAGGUGCCGAGCGUUAGGCGGAAUCACUGGGCUUAAAGCGUGUGUAGGCGGACUCGUAAGUGCUUUGUGAAAUCCCACGGCUCACCCGUGGAACUGCUUGGCAUACUGCGAGCCUUGAGCCACUUAGGGGCAACCGGAACAAACGGUGGAGCGGUGAAAUGCGUAGAUAUCGUUUGGAACGCCAAUGGUGAAAACAGGUUGCUGGGAGUGCGCUGACGCUGAGACACGAAAGCCAGGGGAGCGAACGGGAUUAGAUACCCCUGUAGUCC
This 292-nucleotide ribosomal RNA is filed under the name uncultured bacterium. RNAcentral describes it as "partial 16S ribosomal RNA". It matches the Rfam family "Bacterial small subunit ribosomal RNA", at positions 505 to 796 of the family's 1533-position model. The record is from RNAcentral.